RNAcentral lists this ribosomal RNA (664 nucleotides) under uncultured archaeon. RNAcentral's name for it is "bacterial SSU rRNA". It matches the Rfam family "Archaeal small subunit ribosomal RNA", at positions 334 to 999 of the family's 1478-position model. The record is from RNAcentral.
AGCAGGCGAGAAAACUUUGCAAUGUGCGAAAGCACGACAAGGUUAAUCCGAGUGGUUUCUGCUAAAGGAACCUUUUGUCAGUCCUAGAAACACUGAUGAAUAAGGGGUGGGCAAGUUCUGGUGUCAGCCGCCGCGGUAAAACCAGCACCUCAAGUGGUCAGGAUGAUUAUUGGGCCUAAAGCAUCCGUAGCCGGCUUUGUAAGUUUUCGGUUAAAUCCAUGCGCUCAACGUAUGGGCUGCCGGGAAUACUGCAAAGCUAGGGAGUGGGAGAGGUAGACGGUACUCGGUAGGAAGGGGUAAAAUCCUUUGAUCUAUUGAUGACCACCUGUGGCGAAGGCGGUCUACCAGAACACGUCCGACGGUGAGGGAUGAAAGCUGGGGGAGCAAACCGGAUUAGAUACCCGGGUAGUCCCAGCUGUAAACUAUGCAAACUCAGUGAUGCAUUGGCUUGAUGCCAAUGCAGUGCUGCAGGGAAGCCGUUAAGUUUGCCGCCUGGGAAGUACGUACGCAAGUAUGAAACUUAAAGGAAUUGGCGGGGGAGCACCACAAGGGGUGAAGCCUGCGGUUCAAUUGGAGUCAACGCCAGAAAUCUUACCCGGAGAGACAGCAGAAUGAAGGUCAAGCUGAAGACUUUACCAGACAAGCUGAGAGGAAGUGCAUGGCC